Molecule: ribosomal RNA, 781 nt
Filed under: uncultured Glomeromycotina
Lineage: Eukaryota; Fungi; Glomeromycota
Description: eukaryotic LSU rRNA
Rfam family: Eukaryotic large subunit ribosomal RNA (bases 403-781)
Source: RNAcentral
UCUUUUCUAUAAUAAAAUAAUAUGUAUUAUGAUAAAAAAAUUAAAGAUCACUUUCAACAACGGAUCUCUUGGCUCUCGCAUCGAUGAAGAACGUAGCGAAGUGCGAUAAGUAGUGUGAAUUGCAGAAUUCCGUGAAUCAUCGAAUCUUUGAACGCAAAUUGCACUCUCUGGUAUUCCGGGGAGUAUGCCUGUUUGAGGGUCAGUUUAAAUAAAAAUCGGUGUGUUGCUUUUUGUAACGCCUCGGAUUUGGGUUAUCUUAGCCUUUGGGUUAAGAGACCUAAAAUUGACUUUUUUUGUGCAUUUUUAUAGACGUACAUAAGAUAUUUUUUUAUUCGUCUUGGAAUGCCAAAUUUAUUAGGUAUGAUCAUGUUGUGUGAUUUCGUACCUAUAGGUUUCAUCAUCUGACCUCAAAUCAGGUAGGGACACCCGCUGAACUUAAGCAUAUCAAUAAGCGGAGGAAAAGAAAAUAACAAUGAUUCCCCUAGUAACUGCGAGUGAAGAGGGACAAGCUCAAAUUUUAAAUCUGUUAGGUAUCACCUGGCCGAGUUGUAAUUUGAAGAAGCGUUUUCUGCGCUCUUGAUCAGCCCAAGUCCUAUUGAAUGAGGCAUCAUGGAGGGUGAUAAUCCCGUCCGGUUGAUCAAUGCGUUUUAUGAUACGCUUUCAAAGAGUCAAGUUGUUUGGGAUUGCAGCUUAAAAUGGGAGGUAAAUUUCUCCUAAGGCUAAAUAUUGAAGGGAGACCGAUAGCGAACAAGUACCGUGAGGGAAAGAUGAAAAGAACUUG